UGCUCCCUGAUGUUAGCGGCGGACGGGUGAGUAACACGUGGGUAACCUGCCUGUAAGACUGGGAUAACUCCGGGAAACCGGGGCUAAUACCGGAUGCUUGUUUGAACCGCAUGGUUCAAACAUAAAAGGUGGCUUCGGCUACCACUUACAGAUGGACCCGCGGCGCAUUAGCUAGUUGGUGAGGUAAUGGCUCACCAAGGCAACGAUGCGUAGCCGACCUGAGAGGGUGAUCGGCCACACUGGGACUGAGACACGGCCCAGACUCCUACGGGAGGCAGCAGUAGGGAAUCUUCCGCAAUGGACGAAAGUCUGACGGAGCAACGCCGCGUGAGUGAUGAAGGUUUUCGGAUCGUAAAGCUCUGUUGUUAGGGAAGAACAAGUACCGUUCGAAUAGGGCGGUACCUUGACGGUACCUAACCAGAAAGCCACGGCUAACUACGUGCCAGCAGCCGCGGUAAUACGUAGGUGGCAAGCGUUGUCCGGAAUUAUUGGGCGUAAAGGGCUCGCAGGCGGUUCCUUAAGUCUGAUGUGAAAGCCCCGGCUCAACCGGGGAGGGUCAUUGGAAACUGGGGAACUUGAGUGCAGAAGAGGAGAGUGGAAUUCCACGUGUAGCGGUGAAAUGCGUAGAGAUGUGGAGGAACACCAGUGGCGAAGGCGACUCUCUGGUCUGUAACUGACGCUGAGGAGCGAAAGCGUGGGGAGCGAACAGGAUUAGAUACCCUGGUAGUCCACGCCGUAAACGAUGAGUGCUAAGUGUUAGGGGGUUUCCGCCCCUUAGUGCUGCACGUAACGCAUUAAGCACUCCGCCUGGGGAGUACGGUCGCAAG
Molecule: ribosomal RNA, 827 nt
Filed under: Bacillus halotolerans
Lineage: Bacteria; Bacillati; Bacillota; Bacilli; Caryophanales; Bacillaceae
Description: bacterial SSU rRNA
Rfam family: Bacterial small subunit ribosomal RNA
Source: RNAcentral